AGCGAACGCUGGCGGCGUGCUUAACACAUGCAAGUCGAGCGAGAAAGUCCCGCAAGGGAUGAGUACAGCGGCGAACGGGUGCGUAACACGUGGGCAAUCUGUCCUUGAGACCGGAAUAACCCAGCGAAAGUUGGGCUAAUGCCGGAUAAGACCACGAGCAGACAUGUUUGUGGUCAAAGGGCGCUUCUUCUAGGAGCAUUCACUCACGGAGGAGCCCGCGGCCUAUCAGCUAGUUGGUAGGGUAACGGCCUACCAAGGCAAAGACGGGUAGCUGGUCUGAGAGGAUGACCAGCCACACGGGGACUGAGACA
Molecule: ribosomal RNA, 311 nt
Filed under: uncultured bacterium
Lineage: Bacteria
Description: bacterial SSU rRNA
Rfam family: Bacterial small subunit ribosomal RNA
Source: RNAcentral